RNAcentral lists this non-coding RNA (26 nucleotides) under Cricetulus griseus (Chinese hamster). Lineage: Eukaryota; Metazoa; Chordata; Mammalia; Rodentia; Cricetidae. The record is from RNAcentral.
UCUCUGUGAUGAGUAGUAACUGAGUG